UCUGAAACGGAAAGGAAUGGAAGUUUGUUUAUACUUUUCUUCUGAAACGGCAAGGAAUGAAAAUUUUACAGUGCAAGUCCAUGAUUGCAUUCUCUAGCUCUCUUUAGAGGUUGAAAGAGUUUAGAGUGAGAAUUGAAGAAAACAUUGGACUUUUUCACCUUAGGAAAAGAAUCUCUUUGUAAAGAAGGUUAUUGGUGUUCAAAGGGAUUUGAUAGACGCUUAUUGUGUUGUGGAAUGUGGACCUGGAAAUGAAACAUUUGUAGCUUCGUUAGAGGACCCGAUGACCUCGGCUAACCUUCAUCAAUAGGGCAGUUUUAAGUUUGGCAUUUGGUUUUGGAAGUCGACGGUAGAGGAAUGGAGGUGAAGUCGGGCUCCAUGUUUGGUUAACUUUCGCUCCAUCGAUUGUGAUGGAAGAAGAGAUAAAAGGAUGCUUUCUUGAAUUGGAGCUAUACGAUAAGGAUCUUCAGAAUUAAAUAAGCACAGAUAACGACAUCUUCCAGGUCAUAAUCUCCGCGGCAAGAAUUUCUCCCCUACAGUAAGGUCAUGUGUCUUCGUAAUCUGUUCAGCCAUUUUUGGUGAAGAGACGAGUAGAUGAAGCAGCAGAAACCUCACUAAUUUGUAGUUGCGUAAGUGGUCAUAUCAGGGGAGUGUACCUAUUGCGUGAGAUAUUGAUGCUUUUCGCAGUAGACAUGUGGAAAUGGAGAAUAUAGGUAGAUUCGGGAAAGGUCAUUUGGUGUUUCUGGAACUGGUUUUAUUAUUUUUCUGGAGGUCAAAAGGUGUCAGGAAGAGUGGGAACAGGACUCCUUGUGUAUCUUACUAAAUUAUUCAUCGUUUAAAUACUAUAUUACAAUAUUAUCCCCUUCAGGAGUUUUAAAAUAAUAGUUGCGUAAAGGGCCUAUCUUUCUUGGCUAAGAGUUUGAUGUUGUGAAGCGGUAAGGGGAUGUAACAUUAACUGGUCCAAGUUUUCCUAGGUUGUUUCUUUGGUUCUGGAAGGAAACUUAAGUUUCAAUUAGUUCUCGAUCUCCAUGUUGCUUUCGUCAAGAUUACUAUCAACAAUGAGAGGAGGAAAGCAAAGGGUAUUUUGGCAUGGUGUAGUCGGAGGGUGUGAUGCAGCCAAGGGAAAUAAUUGAAGCUCAAUUACAUGAGAAAAAUUGAAUUGCAGUGAGAUGAUAGAAAGAAAGGUUUAUUUCACACGAUUUUGUACGUUGGAAAAAUUUGUAUGUGUAUAUGGUAGAAGGUGAAGGAAUAUUACUAAAUGGACGGGAAUCAAAUAUAAAUCAUUUUGUCUUCUGAUGGUCGCGUCGAAUGACUCCGACAUGUCUAGUUCUUCUGGAAGAUUCUGUUCGGGAGCUUCCAGUUGAGGUGGUAUUCUAGAUGAGCAAGUAGAAGCUCCAUACUUGAUGGUACCAAGUGUUAAGUAACCCUGGACACAUCCUCCUACCAGCGGCCCGCCCCAUAUGCUAGAAGCUCGCUGUUUGCCUCUAUCAGCAUAGACGAGGUUGUGCAUGUUCGUAGACAGUUUCAGUGUUUGGCCACAUGGAAAGGUGAAGGAGGACUGUAAGGGAUGGGAAUUAAGCAUAAAUCUUUCCUUCUUUGGACGGUUGCGCCGAAGGUCUCCGACAUAUCCAAAUCUUCUGUCUUGACACCACGGAAGUUUCCAAUCGAAAUGGUACAGUAGAUGAGCAAGUACAAGCUCCAUGUUGGCUAUCCCAAGUGCCAGCCCUGGGCACAUCCUCCUACCAGCACCAAAUGCAUCUCUAAUUUUGGCUUCAGACCACUAAUGAAAUGAAGGAAGUACAGCGAAGGAAACACAUCACUGAUGUCGAAACCACCUGCCAAGCCACGAAUGAGAUGCUUUGAAUGAGAUUUGAAAUCUCUUCCUCUCUUAGCGAUCUGAAUGACCGGACUUGUUUAGCACUCAAUAAUUCCAGCACGAAAAUCCUUCGCAAUUGCCUCCAAUAAUUACCGUAAGGGGAGAAAGAGACAUUUGUACAAUCAUAAGAUGAAAUCUUAGCAGCAAGGAUUUCGCUUCUAUCAGCAAAAAUAAGGUCAUGGGUCUUCAUAACCUGUUCGGCAACUUUUGGCGAAGAAAUGACUACGGCAG
This is a long non-coding RNA of Papaver somniferum (opium poppy), 2104 nucleotides long. RefSeq lists it as uncharacterized. The transcript has 11 exons. Lineage: Eukaryota; Viridiplantae; Streptophyta; Magnoliopsida; Ranunculales; Papaveraceae. The record is from RefSeq and is a predicted model, not a curated record.